GGUUCUGAGGCAACUUCUAACAUGGAAUCCUCUAGUUCUUUGAGGAAAUUGUGGGUUCUUCAAUAAAUAAAUUAAUGAAUUUGCAGAAUGGAUUGUAUCCCUAGCCUCUGUAUACCUUUUAUGUCGACCAAAGAGAUCGUCACGAGGGAGGUGUACAUGUUGAAUCUGUUGAUUGACCUUCUUUUACAGCAAAGAAAGGAAGCCAUUUUGAAAGAGAAGUCAUGAAGAAUUAUGUAGUUUUGUUGAAGAAGAAGAAGAGAAACUUUAGUAAAAUAUAGGGAUUAUGCAUUAGUUUCUUUUGUUAGUUAUGUGAAACACUUAUUUAGACACAUUAUGUGUCUUCUUUUGCUAAAACCUCUGUGGUCAUAUUAUGGUGUGGUACAGUGUGAUGUUGCCACUUGCCUAUAAAACAUUAUUUAGCUGUAAAUUAUAGCAAGUUAUGACACUUUUUUGAAGUAUUGAUGCUAAAAUUUGUUAUUUUGAAGGCCAAAUUUGUUUGUGCAUAUAGUUUGGUAAGGCAGUGAAGAAAAUUUGUUAUUA
Molecule: long non-coding RNA, 540 nt
Organism: Capsicum annuum
Lineage: Eukaryota; Viridiplantae; Streptophyta; Magnoliopsida; Solanales; Solanaceae
Exons: 2
Source: RefSeq, a predicted model, not a curated record